Molecule: ribosomal RNA, 253 nt
Filed under: uncultured prokaryote
Description: partial 16S ribosomal RNA
Rfam family: Bacterial small subunit ribosomal RNA
Source: RNAcentral
UACAGAGGGUGCGAGCGUUGUCCGGAAUCACUGGGCGUAAAGGGCGUGUAGGUGGCUAGGUAAGCCGCGUGUGAAAUCCCGGGGCUCAACCCCGGAACGGCACGCGGGACUGUCUGGCUCGAGCAUGGUAGAGGCGAGUGGAAUUCCUGGUGUAGCGGUGGAAUGCGUAGAGAUCAGGAAGAACACCGGUGGCGAAGGCGGCUCGCUGGGCCAUUGCUGACACUGAGGCGCGAAAGCGUGGGGAGCAAACAGG